CAGUAGCCGCGGUAAUACGAAGGGGGCUAGCGUUGCUCGGAAUGACUGGGCGUAAAGGGCGCGUAGGCGGCGGCCAAAGUCAGGCGUGAAAUUCCCGGGCUCAACCUGGGGGCUGCGUUUGAUACUUGGUUGCUUGAGUGGGGAAGAGGGUCGUGGAAUUCCCAGUGUAGAGGUGAAAUUCGUAGAUAUUGGGAAGAACACCAGUGGCGAAGGCGGCUCACUGGACCGACACUGACGCUGAGGCGCGAAAGCGUGGGGAGCAAACAGGAUUAGAGACCCCCGUAGUCCCUGUCUCUUAUAC
Molecule: ribosomal RNA, 301 nt
Filed under: uncultured bacterium
Lineage: Bacteria
Description: partial 16S ribosomal RNA
Rfam family: Bacterial small subunit ribosomal RNA
Source: RNAcentral